This is a long non-coding RNA of Cercocebus atys (sooty mangabey), 5359 nucleotides long. RefSeq lists it as uncharacterized. The record is from RefSeq and is a predicted model, not a curated record. Lineage: Eukaryota; Metazoa; Chordata; Mammalia; Primates; Cercopithecidae. The transcript is spliced from 8 exons.
ACCACAUAGUAAUUCAGACCUUGAAAAUAACUAUUCUCUAAGGUUUCAAGUUCUCUUCACUUCACACCUAAUUUCUCAGUGAAUACAUCCAUAUUUUGAGUUAUUGGACUCAGGAAAUCAAAUUAUUACUAGUCUGGUGAUUAAAUUGCUCUAUCCAUCUGCUAGUAUAUUGUCAUUAUUCUUUGAGCUUUGCUUGAUGAUAACAAAAAUUAUAAGUCACUUGUAUUAAAUCCAGGCAAUGAUUGUAUAAAAUCUUGUAGGAAAAAAAUGAAUGCUUGAACUUGUUUUUUUUCCUGUCUUAAAAGCAAAACAAAAUAUGAAAUGCAAUAUAAUCAAGUUUAAUAUUGGAGUAUAUUUUCAGAAAUGGUGUUGUCCAAAGAUGUCUCCACACAGCUGGACUUUUUCUUGGAUGCUCUUUUGGUUGACAUUGAAUCCACAGAGAUUUCUGGCUUCAUGGAUGGCCAAACACUGAAAACUUCCAGACACACUUGAAUAAGAAGAGAAGGGGCCUGUAUUGCAAGGCUAUUACAGAGGCAGCUAAAACUGCCAAGCAACUGACCUCUGAAGUAAAGGCUCUGUUGACUGUUUGAAACAUAAACACAGUAAGCUUUGCAUCUUGAUUGAAGCAAAGACAUCUGUCUUUUCCCAGAUAGCAAGAACUUUGGUUGCUGUGGCAACAUAUUGACUGGGGAAUUUAAAAAUAAAGGUGGCUCAUUUCCAAAUCAUUUUUUCCCCCUUCACGAAAAAGCCACACACUGGUAAUAAAUGUAGGAGGUGUACAGAAAUCAGAAAAUAUUCUACUCAUCAAGAAUGUGGCAAGUUGCAACUACAAAAUGAAAAUAGAAACAGAAUAGAAAUAUCAAGAUAAGGGACAACUAAGAGACUAAGGAAAUAUGACAGGGAUAAACUCCCCUUUACUGCACGGACUGCAUAGUCACUCACAUGGAGGCUACUUGUGAAGCCAGAUAACACACACAGAAAUGCUGAAUUUCUUGGAGUCUGGCAGCAAACAACGAGUUUGCCAGUUCUGAGGUCCUAAUCCAUGGGGAGAAAGGAGACAAUCAGCAGCACCUCAGAGAAGUUCGGAGAUGAGGGUUAAUGGACUGACUGGUGAUGGAAAAGAUAGCUCAGAGAUAUUUCAAGCAGGCUGCAAGAAUCUCCCAACUUCGUCCAUCACAAAUCCAUCAUUGAUCCUGGAUGCAGGCUUCAGCUGGCAAAGGAAAGGAAAUACAGAGUUCAAAGCAAGAAUGCAUGCUUUGCAGAGCUGAGGAAAACAGAAUUACAGUCACACCAAGCAAGGGCCAAGAUGUGGUCAAAACUUUGAGUCAGCACAGCCUGGAGUUGUCUAUCUCCAGUUGAAUUGUUAUGUAUGGGAUGCAUUUUCAAAAGGAUAAAGUUGAAGACAUGGUCUAUUUACAAACUAUGAAAUUAACCUGGAGUUAUAUAAACAUGCCAAAAGAGGAAAGAGAUUUACACUGGAGCUGUAGUGAGACAUUCAGGUUUGGAAGCAGAAACAGAAUUAAUGCAGAGAGAAGAUGCCAUUGAUAGAGCAGUCCACAUCAGGAAAUCUCUGCUCUUGACAGCAAGAAAAGUUCUCUAAGUAAGUAAAGACACUUAUCCUAUGUGAUCCAUUUUCUUUGUGUUUUCCACGUGUCCUGGUUCUGUAGUUUUGGGUUCCUAUGAGACCCGGUCCCAUUUUGGCACUUACUGUUUUCCUCCUAUUCACACAGAUUCUGAUGUGAAAUUGUACAUUACUUGGAGUAAUUUAAUGAAGAUUCUUCCUUGCCACUAAAAGACCAUAACUACAGCAAAGUUCAUUUACUUUAUUAUCAGUGGUUGCUUUUUUAAAAAAGGUGUCAAUAUUCUGCCUAAGUGCACUUUAUUUUAACUUCAAUAUACUGAUAGAUUAGUAUAUUAGGGAUAUACUAAUGUACUAAUUAGUAUAUAGUAUAUAAUAGGGAUAUACUAAUAGAUUAGUGAACAAAAACAAAUACAAAUCCCCUUUUAGAAUUAUAGUUUAUGAAUUUAUUUUAAAUUGUCUUCAAAUUUAAAACAUAAUAAUUACUGAUUACAACAUUGGAUCAGUCAUGCGAAUAUUCUGUGUCUCUACAUUAACUUUGCAAAGUUUGAUUGAAAUAUCUUAUUAUAAACGGCUGAAUCAUUUACACUAACCUGAUGAGGCGAAUUGUUACGAAUGAGCAAAUAACAGACCACAAAUAAAGGAACAUUAAUGUUGAUAAAGGAAGGGUUAAACUAAGUAGUCAUUGCAUAAGGUAUGUAAACCCAGAGUUAAGUGAAUUGCCCAAGGAGCUUGGCUGAACAUCUCUAACUAAAAGGUCUUCUAUUUCAGUCCUAGCACCAGAGCUUGUUAAUAAGGCCAUCAAGGCCCUGAACGCUGAGGGGUGCAAUAACAUGCAAUCUAUGGAUCAGAAGGGGGAGAAACAGGUCCUUUCUAUCUCCUUUCAGGAGCUUUUAAUGUAAUUGGAUUUAGAUUCAUACUUACAAUCCCUUCACCAUAUGAAAGCUGCCUGGAAGAGCAAUUAAGUGUAUGGGCUCUCCUAUCUGCUUUAGUGGGGAACAAGCUCUGCCAUAGAGUGAUUUUGUAACUUUAAAACUGUACUUCCUUUUCCAUGUCUAAAAAACAUGCAGCCAAGAAAUAAGCCAAUUUGAAGAGUUAAGUAAGAAUCAAGAGAGGGAAACGUAAAUGUAAAUUAUCUGAUGCAUGAUAAGCACUUACUAAGUAACUAAUAUGAGAAAAAUAUGCAAUAUAUAUUCAUAUUUUUAUAUAUAUAUAUAUAAUCUAUCUAGUUAUUCACCCUCCUAUUUAUCCAUCUGCCUUCUACCUCAUUACAAAAGACAUUCAAUGUGGACAAAACCAUUCCACCAAAAGAAAGCACGUAAGUCUUUUUGGAAGUUAUUAGAGUGCUCAGGAGUUUUUAGCAACUACCUGAAUUUGAUGCUAUAUGUCCUGGACUUUGCUCUAAAAAUGACAUAUACAUGACUUCAUGUGAAAGCCAUGCAGAGAUAAAAACACAUACUUGAAAACUGGAAUAAAUUAGAAUUUCUUCUCCCUGUGUAAUGUCUUCUUAGUGGAGCGGAGCACGUUUUUUUGAGCAACAGCACCCAGGUUUCUAAGACAUCAAACUAACUGCUUCAUUAGGCCUGUUCUUCUCAUGGUAAUUUUGGCAGGAUUAAUAUGCCAUGAGCUACUCAGGAAGGAAAGUAAAAUGAGAAAGUACAAAAAUAGCUACUUUAAAGUGUGGCUUAAGAAAGAGGUAAAGCCCAAUAAACUUGGAGGUUAGUGAGAAGUGGGCAGAUAAUUCUGCUUGGUGAAAAUCAUCAUUGACUGCAAUUCCAAAUAGGCAUCAUGAAAUUGUGCCUAGAUACAUGAGUUUAGAUAUUGAAUAAAGACAUAAAAUAUUGAAAGAAGCAGCAAAAUUCCAAAAAAAAUUUGUGGAUGUAAUGUACUGUUAUUUUGGGGGGUUUUACAUGUUUUUCAUGUUAUUAGCAACCCCAGAUGAAGGAUUUGCCUCAGAGCCACACUAUAAAUCAUCAUCAGAGUUCAUUGUGAUAGUUUCUAUUUAUUAAUGCCUGUGAUCCAUACUGAAAUGUCUUUCUGUGCUUACUUACUCAUCCUUCUUUGCAUUCCACUGAUCAUCAAUCACAAAAGCAGCUUGGCCAUUUCUCUCUGUCUUGCCUCAGUGAACUCCUACUUUCCUUGAUUGUUAACCCCUUGCUGGAAUGUACAUGGCCUGUAUGCCUCUCUGGGCUUCUAUUCAACUCUCCCAAUGGGCCUCUCUUCCUGUCACUGAGCUGCAAGGCAAUAUUUUCCAUCUGUUGAAUGAAGAGCAUGACACAGGCAGUUUGAUAUGGUUUCAAAAACCACAGCAAACCAGUGAUGCACAACUCACUUUUAUUCCACAAGCCUGUGGGAGCCCAAAAGGAUGAGAGGCCUUUCUGCUAGGCUGAACACAGAGCUUGGCAUUCAGAAACAAAUAUUCCUCCCUGAAACACUCAAUAUGCUUCAUAUUCAAGCCAGAAACAUUGUGCGUUGGAAUAAUCUAAAGAUGAAUCUAGUCGGAAGUUAUCUUGAAAUGUGUGAGCAAGCUUCUCUUUCAUACACCAGCUGUUUUCUUUCCAUCAAGUGUUUGCUGGGUGGGGGAUCAGCCUGUGUUUUUUUAAUGCAGUAGCAAGAAUGUUUUGUGUGUUCUGAAAGAACCUAUGAUGCCUUUCAAUGUAGAAGGGAGAAGAAAUGGUUCAACAUGAGUUCAGGGAAAUUUUGGAGUCUCUAAUAAUAUCACAUCCUCAAAUUUGGAAGCAUAUUUUCUUUAUAAAGCAUGUUGAAAAAUUAUUUCAUGGUUACUAGUUCCCAAUGUCAGACUGUGACAGAAUUGUUAAAAUAGCAUUGCUAUGGGUAUAAAAGAAAGUUCACAAGCAUUUUGUAAUGUGCCACAGGGUUUAUAAUACAUUUUAACAUAUAUGAUUUCCUAUUUUAUCCACUCAAGGAAAAAAUUGUAUUGUUGGAUAUUUUUAAUAGGUUCGUUAGCCUUAAAAAUCAAAAUAAGGAAAAUAAUCUUGGUAAUGGGAAAAUGUUGUUUAAUGGUAGUCAUUUAAUUAAAACAUGUUAAUUGCUAUAAGCAUAUCAAGAAUCAAAUUAUAAUUUCUGGUGUGGUUUUCAGAACUCUUAUGAAGUCCCAGACUUACUCUUGUCAAAUAGUAUAAUUCAUCCAUGUUAAAAUAUCCAAAUAUUCUAGCAUCUCGUCUGCUGUUCUGUCUGUCUGAAAUGCCCUUUCCUAUCAAUUUUCUAUAUUACAAUUCUAACCACUACUAAAGAUACUUUCUAAAAACUAAUUUUAAAGAUAGUUACGUUUUUAAAAUCUUCCUUAGCUAACUGGUUCUUUCCAAUCCUUGCCUCUAGAAAUAAUCACAUUUUAAUUAUUUGAUGGUUUGAAUAGCACUUACAUAUCACUUUUGACAAUGCAGUUUGAAACUUCAGUGAUAGCUACCUCUUAUUGAACAUGCACUGCUUAUAGACUCUGCUAGAUGUGCUACUAUCCCUACAAUUUUUUUGAGACUACUAUAAUAUUAUCAUCUCCAUUUACAAAUAAGGAAACAGAGUUCAAGAAACAUUAAUAAAUUUGCUCAAGUUUACUUAAUACUCAUUGGUGAAACUGGGAUUUGAAUCCAAAUGUACCUGACUAAAAAGCAUGUUUUUUUCCUUUUUCUUUUCUAGUUUUGUGGAUGUUUUUUAUGGACAUGCACUGAUAGCAGGGCCUGAUCUUAAUCCUUCUAGAUUUCAACUCAUCUACUUCUGCUCUUUAGUUUAAUGAGAUCCCAUUUGUCAAUUUUGGCUUUUGCU